AUUGAACGCUGGCGGCAGGCCUAACACAUGCAAGUCGAGCGGAUGAAGGGAGCUUGCUCCUGGAUUCAGCGGCGGACGGGUGAGUAAUGCCUAGGAAUCUGCCUGGUAGUGGGGGAUAACGUCCGGAAACGGGCGCUAAUACCGCAUACGUCCUGAGGGAGAAAGUGGGGGAUCUUCGGACCUCACGCUAUCAGAUGAGCCUAGGUCGGAUUAGCUAGUUGGUGGGGUAAAGGCCUACCAAGGCGACGAUCCGUAACUGGUCUGAGAGGAUGAUCAGUCACACUGAAACUGAGACACGUCCCAGCGCCCUAGGGGGGGCCGAGGGGGGGAAUUUUGGACAAGGGGCGAAAGCCUGAUCCGGCCAUGGCGGGGUGGGGAAGAAGGUCUGCGGUUUGUAAAACCUUUUAAGUUGGGGGGAAGGGGAGUAAGUUAAAACCUUGCUUUUUGGGCGUGACCAACAGAAGAAGCACCGGCGAACUUCGU
This 483-nucleotide ribosomal RNA is filed under the name uncultured bacterium. RNAcentral's name for it is "partial 16S ribosomal RNA". It matches the Rfam family "Bacterial small subunit ribosomal RNA", at positions 29 to 506 of the family's 1533-position model. The record is from RNAcentral.